AUACAAUGGUGUGGACAUUCUCUUUGCAAGUCUUUAUAUCUUUCCAAUGCUAUAUAGAGUGAUUCUCCCUCCUUUUGUUUGAAGGUGUUGAGCUUAAGCCUUAGUUU
Hevea brasiliensis (rubber tree) is the source of this 107-nucleotide small nucleolar RNA. NCBI's taxonomy places the organism in Eukaryota, Viridiplantae, Streptophyta, Magnoliopsida, Malpighiales, Euphorbiaceae. The record is from RefSeq and is a predicted model, not a curated record.